CUUCUGUCACAUUAAUGGUGGAAAAAGUUGUAAAAUUAUUUAUUUUGGUCUAAAUUCUUUUGCAUCACAAAAACCUGGCAUUUGAAAAGAGCCACCACGUGAACCACCAGCUGCACGCGAUGAAACAUCAAGGAACUCUACAAGGGACAGACUGGCUGCAGUAAUUCCACCGCCGGGGAAAUGGAGUGGCUGGGACUUUGGUGUGGCCAACACAACCUGGAGCUGAACAACGGUGCUCAAAGCGGUAGAGAAGAUUGUGGAUUUCAGGAAACAUGCUUCACCACAGCUGCCCCUUACGCUGUCCAACUGCCCUGUGUCACCUGUCAAGACUUUCAGGUUCCUGGGAAUUACAGUUUCUCAGGACUUGAAGUGGGAGACCAACAUCAACUCCAUCCAUAAAAAGACCCAGCAAAGGAUAUACUUACUGCGGCGUCUGAGGAAGCACGGACUGCCACAGGAGCUGUU
Molecule: long non-coding RNA, 465 nt
Organism: Phycodurus eques (leafy seadragon)
Lineage: Eukaryota; Metazoa; Chordata; Actinopteri; Syngnathiformes; Syngnathidae
Exons: 3
Source: RefSeq, a predicted model, not a curated record